This 200-nucleotide ribosomal RNA is filed under the name uncultured bacterium. RNAcentral describes it as "partial 16S ribosomal RNA". It matches the Rfam family "Bacterial small subunit ribosomal RNA", at positions 8 to 202 of the family's 1533-position model. The record is from RNAcentral.
AGAGUUUGAUCCUGGCUCAGGAUGAACGCUAGCGGCAGGCCUAAUACAUGCAAGUCGAGGGGCAGCGGGGAUAGCAAUAUCUGCCGGCGACCGGCGCACGGGUGCGUAACACGUAUGGAACCUACCUAUAACAUGGGCAUAGCCCGGAGAAAUCCGGAUUAAUAUCCAAUGAGACUACGGAACGGCAUCGUUUUGUUGUU